This is a non-coding RNA of Arachis ipaensis, 1385 nucleotides long. The record is from RefSeq and is a predicted model, not a curated record. Lineage: Eukaryota; Viridiplantae; Streptophyta; Magnoliopsida; Fabales; Fabaceae.
AAUGAAAAGGGUAGGACUGGAAAUAUGAGAGAAUAAACUAUGGAGAAGAAGAAUCUUCAUUCUUGAGAGUUGAGAGGUAAAAGUUUAAAGCUUUAAGCAUACUGCACCUGCUUCCUCCUUUAACACGCCGAAUUCAUCUUCCAGUCUCAGGCACACAACACAUCCAAACCCUAAACCCAACCCGCAAAAUUCUAGGGUCUGUGUUUGCGGUUCCAUAAUGUCUCAGAACGGGAAGCUCAUGCCGAAUCUCGACCAGCACAGCACCAAGCUCCUUAACCUUACUGAUCUUCAGCGCAUCCACCCCUUCGUCGAGGAAAUCCUCAUCACCGCCGCAUACGUCACCUUCUACGAGUUCAACAUCGACCUAUCCCAAUGGAGCCGCAAGGCGGUCGAGGUAUCCCUCUUCGUUGUCAAAAAGUCUACUUUUUGUUCCUUUUCCUUCAUCAUAUCGCAACAAUUCAUGAAUUCCACGAUCCGAUUGCUUUUUGUUUGAUUUUUUCAAGAACACGCAACCGCGAUUUCAGUUUAUUGUGAUAAACCCUCGCAAUACUGGUUUUCUCAUUUUUGGAUCCUCCCAAUCUAUGCAAAGCUGCGCCAGUGUUUGUACGUAGUGGAGCCCCCGAUGAGCAUAAUCACGGGGGUGCAAGAUACAAGCUAUUGUUCGGAAGACUAUGAUUUACAAGUUCAAACAACUUCUCUCCGAGGGUCGAGUAUAUGUAAUGAAGCUCUUCUCUGUUGUGCCAAACCAAGGAUCUUAUAGGGCCACUAAGCAUCAGUUUAAGUUGAUUUUCCAGUUCAGGACCACUGUUAGGGAUGCUAUCUGCGAUUUUAUUCCAAAAUCUGCUCUUACAAUCUCUCCAUUCACUGAACUUUUGGAAACCAAAGAGGAUUCCGAUUUCUUAGUUGAUGUGGUGGGUCUGUUGGUCUCUGUCGGAAGAGAAAGAAUAUGAUAAAGAUGGAAAGAAGAUGAAGAUGGCUGUGAUGGAACUUGCUGAAAAUGAUCACAGGAUUCGGUGUGCCUUAUUUGGUGAAUAUGUUGACGAACUUAAUCGAUUUCUGUCUUCUGGGUAUGCUGAACAGCCAGUUGUGGUUUUACAGCUUGCCAAAGUUAAGGUUUUUAGAGGUAGAGUUGGACUUCAGAAUGUUAUGUUUGCAUCGAAGCUAGGAUUUAAUCUUGACAUCCCAGAGGUGGUAGCUUUUCGGAAAAGUUCUAUUCCUCAUGGAGUUAGUGCAUCCCAACCCAUUGGCAUUGUUGGAUCUGGAAAAAAUAUCGGAAUAGAAGAAGAUUUUAUGAAGCUCACACCUAUGUGUACUGUGAAGUCGCUUGAUGAUAACAACCGGGCUGGAACCUUUGUUGUACUAGUGAAGAUAGCUGAAAUAGUUGA